This 488-nucleotide ribosomal RNA is filed under the name uncultured bacterium. Its description in RNAcentral is "partial 16S ribosomal RNA". It matches the Rfam family "Bacterial small subunit ribosomal RNA", at positions 30 to 507 of the family's 1533-position model. The record is from RNAcentral.
UUGAACGCUGGCGGCAGGCUUAACACAUGCAAGUCGCGCGGUAGCAGGAGAAAGCUUGCUUUCUUGCUGACGAGUGGCGGACGGGUGAGUAAUGCUUGGGAAUCUGGCUUAUGGAGGGGGAUAACUACGGGAAACUGUAGCUAAUACCGCGUAAUAUCUUCGGAUUAAAGAAUGGGACUUUUAGCCAUUCGCCAUAAGAUGAGCCCAAGUGGGAUUAGGUAGUUGGUGGGGUAAAGGCCUACCAAGCCGACGAUCUCUAGCUGGUCUGAGAGGAUGACCAGCCACACUGGAACUGAGACACGGUCCAGACUCCUACGGGAGGCAGCAGUGGGGAAUAUUGCGCAAAGGGGGCAACCCUGACGCAGCCAUGCCGCGUGAAUGAAGAAGGCCUUCGGGUUGUAAAGUUCUUUCGGUGGUGAGGAAGGCUAAUAUGUUAAUAGCAUAUUAGAUUGACGUUAGCCACAGAAGAAGCACCGGCUAACUCCGUG